RNAcentral lists this long non-coding RNA (1128 nucleotides) under Homo sapiens (human). RNAcentral describes it as "long intergenic non-protein coding RNA 1811". The record is from RNAcentral. Lineage: Eukaryota; Metazoa; Chordata; Mammalia; Primates; Hominidae.
AGUCAAUGGAAUUGGCAGUCAAGAGAAGUUUAACUGAAUCUCUGAGUGGCAAGAGUCAGGAGAGGUUUAACUGAAUAUAGAAGGAGAAGAAGUAUUUACAUUAGAAGUCUGAUUCACAGGUCGGGGCAAAGUGAAAAACAUCUGCACUUUUAAAAGAGAGGUCAAAAGUCCGUCUGACUCACCUGUGCUGAGUGACUUGAAUGCCAUCUAAUCUAACUUCAAGGUCACAGUGUUUGGACACCGCAUGAACAUGCCAAUUUCCUGUGUUGUAAUAUUUUUAUGCACUUUAAGAAGACCACCAGAAACAGCAGAGUGAGUGAAUGACUGAGGCGCAUAUUGGACAAAAAUCACUUAUCCAAGACCACGUUACUACAACCCCAGGGCACAGAAGCUAAGUCUUCCUAUUGUACUGAACUCAGUUGACUGGAAUUUGUUCAGGAAAGCAUGAAGUCAAAUGGAAGCUAGUCCGUGACUGGAUUCAUCUUUUGGUAAAAAACGAAGAGGAGACCCCAUAUCCUGGAGGUUCUUGCUUAACCCUGUCCCUAAUAAGACCUAACUUUAUGAGUCUUCUCCUUAGAGGCAGUCCUAGGGUAAGAGUGAUUAUUCCUGUGAGCCUUGUAGGUACUUUCGAAUCAAGGAAAUUAGUAGUUGAUUGCUAAUUAAUUCAGUAUUUAAUGAAUUUAAGUACCUAGGCAAUGAGGCCACAAUAGCAAAUAAGACACAGACCUGUUUUCAAAAAGUAGCCUGUAAAUAAGAUAUUUUUUUCUGCCAUGGUGGCAAAGGCAUGACUAUGGUGAUGAACAUUCAUAGGCUCACCUUCUAGCUCUGUUGUAUGUUAACUGUGUGAACUUGGGUCAAGUUAUGAAAACUCUAAGAACUCUCAAAACUCCUGAUCUGUUUUAACAUGAAAGUAAAGAUAUCUAAUUGAAUUGUUGUGAAACUUAAAUGUAAUGUGACAUCCAAAGAAUGUAGCCCAAAGUUGGAUUUCAGUAAGUGAUAAAUAGAAGUAUUUAAACAUGGGUAUGGUAUGUUCUGUAACAGAAGAAUGUCUAUGUGCUGGGGAUACCUAGAGACAGUGAAAAUUCUGUCUGGCCUGCGAAUUAUAAUAAAAUGACUCUUUAAAGUCAA